AUUGUAAUUUGUACCAAAUAAAUAAAAAAAAAUAAAUUAAAAAAAUCUGUUCUUAUCAGUUUAAUAUCUGAUACGUCCCCUAUUCGGGGACCAUAUAUUAAAUGGAUUUUUGUGCCUGGGAAAUGGAAGAGGGGCUUGCUCCAUCCACUAUACGUAUCGACUUGGUAUUGCAGUAUUUCCAGGCACAGUGCACUUCCC
Molecule: small nuclear RNA, 198 nt
Organism: Xyrauchen texanus (razorback sucker)
Lineage: Eukaryota; Metazoa; Chordata; Actinopteri; Cypriniformes; Catostomidae
Product: U2 spliceosomal RNA
Exons: 1
Source: RefSeq, a predicted model, not a curated record